RNAcentral lists this ribosomal RNA (763 nucleotides) under uncultured Fusarium. RNAcentral describes it as "eukaryotic LSU rRNA". The stretch from base 134 to 287 matches the Rfam family "5.8S ribosomal RNA". Lineage: Eukaryota; Fungi; Ascomycota; Sordariomycetes; Hypocreales; Nectriaceae. The record is from RNAcentral.
CCAAACCCCUGUGAACAUACCAAUUGUUGCCUCGGCGGAUCAGCCCGCUCCCGGUAAAACGGGACGGCCCGCCAGAGGACCCCUAAACUCUGUUUCUAUAUGUAACUUCUGAGUAAAACCAUAAAUAAAUCAAAACUUUCAACAACGGAUCUCUUGGUUCUGGCAUCGAUGAAGAACGCAGCAAAAUGCGAUAAGUAAUGUGAAUUGCAGAAUUCAGUGAAUCAUCGAAUCUUUGAACGCACAUUGCGCCCGCCAGUAUUCUGGCGGGCAUGCCUGUUCGAGCGUCAUUUCAACCCUCAAGCCCCCGGGUUUGGUGUUGGGGAUCGGCGAGCCCUUGCGGCAAGCCGGCCCCGAAAUCUAGUGGCGGUCUCGCUGCAGCUUCCAUUGCGUAGUAGUAAAACCCUCGCAACUGGUACGCGGCGCGGCCAAGCCGUUAAACCCCCAACUUCUGAAUGUUGACCUCGGAUCAGGUAGGAAUACCCGCUGAACUUAAGCUAAUCAAUAAGCGGAGGAAAGGAUCAUUACCGAGUUUACAACUCCCAAACCCCUGUGAACAUACCAAUUGUUGCCUCGGCGGAUCAGCCCGCUCCCGGUAAAACGGGACGGCCGCCAGAGGACCCUAAACUCUGUUUCUAUAUGUAACUUCUGAGUAAAACAUAAAUAAAUCAAACUUUCACAACGGAUCUCUUGGUUCUGGCAUCGAUGAAGAACGCACAAAAUGCGAUAAGUAAUGUGAACUGCGAAAUUCGUGAAUCAUCUAAUC